RNAcentral lists this ribosomal RNA (254 nucleotides) under uncultured bacterium. RNAcentral's name for it is "partial 16S ribosomal RNA". It matches the Rfam family "Bacterial small subunit ribosomal RNA", at positions 524 to 776 of the family's 1533-position model. The record is from RNAcentral.
CACGUAGGGUGCGAGCGUUGUCCGGAAUUAUUGGGCGUAAAGAGCUCGUAGGCGGUGUGUCGCGUCGGCCGUGAAAACCUGCAGCUUAACUGUGGGCUUGCGGUCGAUACGGGCAUCACUGGAGUUCGGCAGGGGAGACUUGAAUUCCUGGUGUAGCGGUGAAAUGCGCAGAUAUCAGGAGGAACACCGGUGGCGAAGGCGGGUCUCUGGGCCGAUACUGACGCUGAGGAGCGAAAGCGUGGGGAGCGAACAGG